UACGUAGGGUGCAAGCGUUGUCCGGAAUUAUUGGGCGUAAAGAGCUCGUAGGCGGUUUGUCGCGUCUGCUGUGAAAACCGGAGGCUCAACCUCCGGCCUGCAGUGGGUACGGGCAAACUAGAGUGCGGUAGGGGAGAUUGGAAUUCCUGGUGUAGCGGUGGAAUGCGCAGAUAUCAGGAGGAACACCGAUGGCGAAGGCAGAUCUCUGGGCCGUAACUGACGCUGAGGAGCGAAAGCGUGGGGAGCGAACAGG
This 253-nucleotide ribosomal RNA is filed under the name uncultured bacterium. RNAcentral's name for it is "partial 16S ribosomal RNA". It matches the Rfam family "Bacterial small subunit ribosomal RNA", at positions 524 to 776 of the family's 1533-position model. The record is from RNAcentral.